RNAcentral lists this non-coding RNA (195 nucleotides) under Salipiger profundus. The record is from RNAcentral. Lineage: Bacteria; Pseudomonadati; Pseudomonadota; Alphaproteobacteria; Rhodobacterales; Roseobacteraceae.
GCAACAUGCAGGUGCUUUGGUUCCCGCGAGUCACCUCGCGGGCUAAGAGGGAAGCCGGUGAAGAUCCGGCACUGCCCCCGCAACUGUAAGUGGCAAGCCCCGGUCCGAUCCACUGGUGUCAGCGCACACCGGGAAGGCGGACGACGGGGCGUUCGAGCCGCAAGUCAGGAGACCUGCCAGGGCAUGAACGACGAC